Molecule: ribosomal RNA, 790 nt
Filed under: uncultured archaeon
Lineage: Archaea
Description: bacterial SSU rRNA
Rfam family: Archaeal small subunit ribosomal RNA
Source: RNAcentral
ACGGCUCAGUAACACGUAGCUAAUCUACCCUUAGGUCAGGGAUAACCACGGGAAACUGUGGCUAACACUUGAUAGAGGUUAAAUGUUGGAAUACAUCUACCUCGAAAUUCGAGCCUAAGGAUGAGGCUGCGGCUGAUUAGCUUGUUGGCGGGGUAACUGCCUACCAAGGCGAUGAUCAGUACGGGCUCUUAGCGGAGUUGCCCGGAGAUGGAAUCUGAGACACUAUUCCAAGCUCUACGGAGUGCUGCAGUAGCGGAUCAUUUACAAUGCACGAAAGUGUGAUAAUGCGAACCAAAGUGCUUUUCGUUUAGAAAAGCUUUUCUUUAGUGUAAAAAACUAGAGGAAUAAGGACUGGGAAAGACUGGUGCCAGCCGCCGCGGUAAUACCAGCAGUUCAAGUCGCAUCCCUUAUUAUUGGGUCUAAAACAUCCGUAGCUUGCCAUAUAAGUCUCUUGUGAAAUCCCACGUCUCAAGCGUGGGGCUUGCGGGAGAUACUGUAUGGCUAGAGAUCGGUAGACGUAAGGAGUACGCCGGAGGUAACGGUUAAAUGUGUUAAUCUUCGGUGGACUAACAAUGAGCGAAGGCACCUUACGAGGACGAAUCUGACAGUCAGGGAUGAAGGCCAGGGGCGCAAAACGGAUUAGAUACCCGUGUAGUCCUGGCAGUAAACACUGCUCACUAAACAUCGGGCCCUCUUCGGGAGGAUUCGGUGCUGAAGCGAAAGCGAAGAGUGAGCUACCUGGGAAGUAUAGUCGCAAGAUCGAAACUUAAAGGAAUUGGCGGGGGAGCAC